Molecule: ribosomal RNA, 2880 nt
Filed under: marine metagenome
Description: bacterial LSU rRNA
Rfam family: Bacterial large subunit ribosomal RNA
Source: RNAcentral
AGGGCAUUUGGUGGAUGCCUUGGCAUAUGAAGGCGAUGAAGGACGUGGUAAGCUGCGAUAAGCCUCGGGAAGGUGCAAACAACCAUCAAUCCGGGGAUUUCCGAAUGGGAGAACCCCUCUACCGUAAUGGGUAGAGACUGCUGUCUGAAUAUAUAGGGCAGUAAGAGCCAACGCAGUGAAGUGAAACAUCUCAGUAACUGCAGGAAAAGAAAACAACCGUGAUUCCCAAAGUAGCGGCGAGCGAACUGGGAAGAGCCUAAACCGAUAUUGUGUCAUGACUGUCAUCUUAGCAGUAUCGGGGUUGCGGGAAGUGGUCGGAAGGUCUGGCAGGACCCUCGGCGAGUCAGAAAACUUUUGUUUAGGAGAAUUGAAUCAGGAAAGGUUCAGCCAUAGAGGGUGAUAGCCCCGUAUCUGAAAAACAAAAGUCUCGCUGGAUCAUUUUCUCAAGUAGAGCGGAACACGAGAAAUUCCGUUUGAAUCUGCCAGGACCACCUGGUAAGGCUAAAUACUCUCAUAUGACCGAUAGUGUAUUAGUACCGUGAGGGAAAGGUGAAAAGAACCCUGUGAGGGGAGUGAAAUAGAACCUGAAACCGAAUGUCUACAAGCUGUCGAAGUCCGCAAGGACGACGGCGUGCCUUUUGCAUAAUGAGCCAGCAAGUUACUCGUAUCUAGCGAGGUUAAAUCUAUAGGGAUGGAGCCGUAGGGAAACCAAGUCUGAAUAGGGCGCUUAGUUAGAUGCGGUAGACGCGAAACCGAGUGAUCUUACCAUGGCCAGGUUGAAGCAACAGUAAAAUGUUGUGGAGGACCGAACCGACCUGGGUUGAAAACCGGGCGGAUGAGCUGUGGUAAGGGGUGAAAGGCCAAUCAAACUCGGUGAUAUCUCGUUCUCUCCGAAAUGCGUUUAGGCGCAGCGUUAUGAUAAAGUAUCAUGGAGGUAGAGCACUGAAUGGGCUCGGGCCCUUAUCAGGGUACCAACCCCUAUCAAACUCCGAAUUCCAUUGAUAUGUUUCGUAGCAGUGAGGCAGUGGGUGAUAAGAUUCAUUGCCGAGAGGGAAACAACCCAGACCUACAGCUAAGGCCCCUAAAUUUUUACUAAGUGAUAAAGGAUGUAGAUUAGCACAGACAGCUAGGAGGUUGGCUUAGAAGCAGCCAUUCCUUUAAAGAAAGCGUAACAGCUCACUAGUCAAGGUAAUCUGCGCCGAUAAUCUCCGGGACUCAAGUAAAAUGCCGAAGCUUAGGAUUUCCGAUUUAUCGGAAGUGGUAGGAGAGCGUUCCAUCAACCGUCGAAGGCUGACCCGGGAGGGCAGCUGGAGGAAAUGGAAAUGAGGAUGCUGGCAUGAGUACGCGAUAAAACACGUUAAAUUCGUGUUCACCGUAAGCCCAAGGUUUCCUGAUCAAUGUAAAUCAGAUCAGGGUUAGUCGGCCCCUAAGGCGAGGCCGAAAGGCGUAGUCGAUGGAAAUCAGGUAACUUCUGAAUAUUCCUGAACCUCCGACCCUUAAACCGGGACACCCAUCUUCCAGACCUGUUUGUCUUAUUGAUUUGAUACUCAGGAGUAAGAGGUGGCAAGAAAAAGCCCGGUGUAUGCUAAGGAGACCGUACCGUAAACCGACACAGGUAGGCGAGGAGAGAAUCCUAAGGUGCUUGAGAGAAUUCUGGUUAAGGAACUCGGCAAAAUCGCCCCGUAACUUCGGGAUAAGGGGUGCCUUCAUUUAUGAAGGCCGCAGUGAAAAGGGGGUAGCGACUGUUUACUAAAAACAUAGGUCUAUGCUAACACGUAAGUGGAAAUAUAUGGACUGACACCUGCCCGGUGCUGGAAGGUUAAGAUACUUUGUCAUUCAGACUUGUCUGAAGAAGCUCGGUGUUGAAGCCCCAGUAAACGGCGGCCGUAACUAUAACGGUCCUAAGGUAGCGAAAUUCCUUGUCGGGUAAGUUCCGACCUGCACGAAUGGUGUAACGACUUCCCCACUGUCUCGACCAGAAACUCAGCGAAAUUGUAAUGUCGGUGAAGAUACCGGCUAACCAUAGAAGGACGGAAAGACCCCGUGAACCUUUACUAUAGCUUGAUAUUGGCUUUUGAUUCUGUAUGUGUAGGAUAGGUGGGAGACUUUGAAGCCCUGAUGCUAAUCAGGGUGUAGUCAUCCUUGAAAUACCAUCCUUGCAUCAUUGAAAGUCUAACCGUGAUCCGUUAUCCGGAUUCGGGACAUUGUCUGGUGGGUAGUUUGACUGGGGCGGUCUCCUCCCAAAAUGUAACGGAGGAGCCCAAAGGUCACCUCAGCACGGUCGGUAAUCGUGCGUAGAGUGCAAACGCAUAAGGUGGCUUAACUGCGAGACCGACAGGUCAAGCAGAUGCGAAAGCAGGGGUUAGUGAUCCGGCGGUCCCGUGUGGAAGGGCCGUCGCUAAUCGGAUAAAAGGUACUCCGGGGAUAACAGGCUUAUCUCCCCCAAGAGCUCAUAUCGACGGGGAGGUUUGGCACCUCGAUGUCGGCUCGUCGCAUCCUGGGGCUGGAGAAGGUCCCAAGGGUUGGGCUGUUCGCCCAUUAAAGUGGCACGCGAGCUGGGUUUAGAACGUCGUGAGACAGUUCGGUCCCUAUCCUCUAUGGUCGUAGGAAAUUUGAGGGAAUCUGCUUCUAGUACGAGAGGACCGAAGUGGACGAACCUCUAGUGUACCUGUUGUUGCAUCAGCAGCAUUGCAGGGUAGCUACGUUCGGCAGGGAUAAGCGCUGAAAGCAUAUAAGCGCGAAACCCAUCCCAAGAUAAGAUUUCCCUUCCCACCUCGGUGGGACUGAAGACUUCCAGUAGAAUACUGGUUUGAUAGGUCACAGAUGUAAGUGCAGUAAUGUACUCAGUCGAGUGAUACUAAUUAGUCGUGAGACUUAAUC